CAAGCUCUUAACCAACUGAGCCACUCAGCUGGCCCUGUGGAAGGCAAAUCUUUCCCAGAGGCCCCCCAGAUAAUAUCGCAUUGGCCAGAACUGGGUCAUGCACACGUCCUUGGACCAGCCAUUGGCAGAGGGAAUUGCAUCACUUAGACCAAUCACGGUUCAUCCCUUCGUGUUGGAUGCACAGCUCUUCCACUCUUGUUCAAAACUACCUGGUCAAUUUUGAUUGUCAUUUGUUUGUUCAUCAUAUUUUGAGCAUCUCCAUUUACUUCUUUAAACUAUUAAAAAUACUUUUAUAUUGUG
Hipposideros armiger (great roundleaf bat) is the source of this 300-nucleotide long non-coding RNA. RefSeq lists it as uncharacterized. The transcript is spliced from 2 exons. The record is from RefSeq and is a predicted model, not a curated record. NCBI's taxonomy places the organism in Eukaryota, Metazoa, Chordata, Mammalia, Chiroptera, Hipposideridae.